GGUUGUGGCCAAACCUCCUUGUCAAAGCCUGAUCUCUUCAGAUCUCAGAAGCUAAGCAGGGCUGGGCCUGGUUAGGACAGGAGAUUGCUGGGAACAUCAGGUCUCACAGUGG
Molecule: ribosomal RNA, 112 nt
Filed under: Periophthalmus magnuspinnatus
Lineage: Eukaryota; Metazoa; Chordata; Actinopteri; Gobiiformes; Gobiidae
Source: RNAcentral